CUACAUUUUAGGUCUGAUAUACUAGCACCAAGCUUGGAGCAAUAAAUAUUUAUUGAAUGAGCGAAGGAUUUUUUUUUUUAUAUUUUAUUUUUAGAAUUUAUUGAAGGAUUUUACUUAACCUUUAUUCGUAUCUGUAUGUACCAGCUCCAUACUUGCUAAUGAGGACAAAAAGGGGAUUGAGAUGCAAUCACAUUUACAUGAUAGGGCUCUGACAGUUAUAACAGAGAGUGAUAAAUGUUCUAAUGAAUUCAGGUCCCAGGAUUUGUCAGAAUGCUGAUGAUAAGUCAAUGUAUGGGUAGGAUGGGAACAAAAAGAGGGAGUUGAACUGAAUCAGUUCCACAUUUUUGUUCUCAUCCAUUCAUCCAGUAUUUAUUUAGAGUCUAUCAUGGGCCAAGCUAGGCAACUAAGCUUUUGUUUUUAACCAAACCCAGGAGACAAGCCACAAUCGUUGAACACAGAAGAAGAAUUGGAAUUAGCAUAUGAACAAGAGUACACUAAUGUGGUCUAAAUAGUCUUCCUGAGAACUGUAGGAAUGUGGGCAGCACAUGUUCUCAUGUGAGUGUGGCAAGUCAGGGACACCUUGGAGGGGCGUUUGGAGUUCAAGGCAGUGAUGGACAUGGAUUGGCAGGAAGGAGAGGAAGCUGAGACCUGUGUGAACUAUAGCAAUCCAUUCCCUUGUUUGAUGAGGUUGGGCCAACUGGGAGCCCUGGCAAGAAAGCAAGAACAAAAGUGAAGUGGUGGCAAAGUGCUGGACCAGAUGUUAGAAGUCUUCAGUUUGCUCUUGACAACAACAAUUCACAAUGUAACCCUGAGAAAAGUCAUCUCUGUUUCCCCACUGGUAAAAUGAUUGUGAGAAAAAUAGGGUCUAAUGGGACUUAUGUAGAGGACUGGGAAGCUGAGCUGUGAAAUGACCCCAAGGUUUCUGGUCACAAUGGCUUCUCUUUUGUACCCAGUUCUUUGCUCCUCAAGGAGCCUUGUUUUCUGUACUUGUGAAUAUUUGAACCAACCAAUAAAGAUUUAAUGGCAAUGUAGAAAGUUACUUUUCCUCCCUGGGCAUUCAUUUCUUCAUUUUGUGAAAUCAGAACAUCAGACUCAGUUUGAUAUAAACAGACUUUUCUGAAAAGAAGA
Molecule: long non-coding RNA, 1128 nt
Filed under: Callithrix jacchus (white-tufted-ear marmoset)
Lineage: Eukaryota; Metazoa; Chordata; Mammalia; Primates; Cebidae
Description: lncRNA (ENSCJAG00000080757.1)
Source: RNAcentral